This 75-nucleotide transfer RNA is filed under the name Burkholderia territorii. RNAcentral's name for it is "tRNA-Phe". It matches the Rfam family "tRNA". From Rfam's summary of the family: Transfer RNA (tRNA) molecules are approximately 80 nucleotides in length. The record is from RNAcentral. Lineage: Bacteria; Pseudomonadati; Pseudomonadota; Betaproteobacteria; Burkholderiales; Burkholderiaceae.
GCCGAGAUAGCUCAGUUGGUAGAGCGGCGGACCGAAAAUCCGUGCGCGAAGGUUCGAUUCCUUCUCUUGGCGCCA